GGUGAAACACAUACAAAUAUAACUCUUCUGCCAGACAAUGAUGUGAGACGUUUGCUGAAGCCAGAAAACACACAAGUCUUUCAAAGAAUAUACUCGGUGCAUCUGUGACAUUAUCGAUCAACUUGUGGUUCUUUCUGUUGCCCCUCACGCACUUACAACAAGAUGCUGUCUAUCCUAGUUCAUUACUGGCAUGAACAAGUACCUGGAAGCUCAAAGUCGUA
Molecule: long non-coding RNA, 221 nt
Filed under: Helianthus annuus (common sunflower)
Lineage: Eukaryota; Viridiplantae; Streptophyta; Magnoliopsida; Asterales; Asteraceae
Description: sRNA HanXRQr2_Chr11g0489021
Source: RNAcentral